This 1053-nucleotide small RNA is filed under the name Arabidopsis thaliana (thale cress). Its description in RNAcentral is "ATSL158500". Lineage: Eukaryota; Viridiplantae; Streptophyta; Magnoliopsida; Brassicales; Brassicaceae. The record is from RNAcentral.
UUUUGUUCAUCCUGUUAUCAUCAUGCUAUUACUUUGUUGUUAUCAUGUUUUCAUUCUAUUCAACGUUUAUGUUCUCUACAAUGAUGUCUGAGUAGUGAAUAGGUUUCUGAGGAUGGGUUAGAGUAGUUUAGGAUUCUCGGUAUGCUAGGUGGUUGAGUUUGAUAUAUAAAUCCCUUCUGGAUUAGUUUUUCUUAAUGCCUAUUGCUUUCUGAUCAACUGGAAUUUGAGCCCAGACAUUUCCGCGCCCAAAAGGUGUUCGAUGAAAUUUCUGAACCACUAAUUCCAGAGAUUCGUGGCUCUGUACCAAGGUAUUGGUUGCACAGAGCGUUUUGGCUUUAACUUGUUGAUUCGUAAUGCAUGUUAGGUUAGCUCUCGUCAAUGGUGAUGGAGUCUGGGACUGGUUUAACUUGAGGGUCUCUGUUGCGGUGGCACUUAGAUUUGGUUACCGAACUUGUUAUCUAGGGAUAAUUUAUUGAGCAUGUUAAUCACCUGUAAACUGAAGAAACGAAACUACUCAAUUACCCCAUCCUUGGGAAUUCUUUAUCUGAUUGAUUUUUUUGUUUACUCUACUGUUGUUUACUACGUCUUGUUACAUGUUGCUUAGUUUCUGCAAAUCUUUCCUGUUACUCGACCUGAUACUCGACCACCCAGUUGUCUGGCAACAGACUGUGCAGUCGAGUAUCUUUGUUUCAUUUACUGCCUGUUACUCGACCAGUCACUCGACCUCACCCAGUUCUCUGCAAAGAGCUUUGUUGGUAGAGUGUUUUAUUGUUUCUGCUUGAAUUUCUGUUUUCUGCAUGUUCACUUAGGACUCCUAGAACACGUCAAAACCUGUUAUUGCUUGGCUUGACUUAGUGACUUCUGAUCACAUCUUGAUUGUUAGCAUCACACCCAUUUGGAUUGACAAACUAAAAUACUACAACGACAUGAUUGGUGUUUAAGGAUAAUUGACUAAAACCUAUUAUCCAUUUGGCGCCUUUGCCAAUUGGGUGUUUGUUUGUUACAUUUAAGAUUUCAGACUUGCUUAGAUCAAGUUCUUUUUCAAUUUUCAUU